GACGUAGGAGGCGAGCGUUGUCCGGAUUCAUUGGGCGUAAAGAGCACGCAGGCGGUUUGGCAAGUCGGACGUGAAAAUCCGGGGCUCAACCCCGGACCUGCAUCCGAAACUGCCCGACUAGAGGUAGGUAGGGGAGAUCGGAAUUCCUGGUGUAGCGGUGAAAUGCGCAGAUAUCAGGAGGAACACCGGUGGCGAAGGCGGAUCUCUGGACAGUUACCGACGCUGAGGCACGAAGGUCAGGGGAGCAAACGGG
RNAcentral lists this ribosomal RNA (253 nucleotides) under uncultured bacterium. Its description in RNAcentral is "partial 16S ribosomal RNA". It matches the Rfam family "Bacterial small subunit ribosomal RNA", at positions 524 to 776 of the family's 1533-position model. The record is from RNAcentral.